CCUACGGGAGGCAGCAGUAAGGAAUAUUGGUCAAUGGAGGCAACUCUGAACCAGCCAUGCCGCGUGCAGGAAGACGGCCCUAUGGGUUGUAAACUGCUUUUGAACUAGAGAAAACCUUGGUACGUGUACCGAGUUGAUAGUAUAGUUAGAAUAAGCAUCGGCUAACUUCGUGCCAGCAGCCGCGGUAAGACGAAGGAUGCAAGCGUUAUCCGGAUUCAUUGGGUUUAAAGGGUGCGUAGGCGGACUGAUAAGUCAGUGGUGAAAUCUCUCAGCUUAACUGAGAAACUGCCAUUGAUACUGUUAGUCUAGAGUACAGAUGAUGUGGGCGGAAUAUGACAUGUAGUGGUGAAAUACUUAGAUAUGUCAUAGAACACCGAUUGCGAAGGCAGCUCACAAAACUGUAACUGACGCUGAGGCACGAAAGUGGNGGGAGUACAACAGAUAGUAUACCUACGUAGUCGCACCGUAACGAUAGAUACUCGUUGUUGUGAUAUGACAGUCAGCGACCGAACGACGAACGACGA
RNAcentral lists this ribosomal RNA (524 nucleotides) under uncultured bacterium. RNAcentral's name for it is "bacterial SSU rRNA". It matches the Rfam family "Bacterial small subunit ribosomal RNA", at positions 338 to 862 of the family's 1533-position model. The record is from RNAcentral.